UAUGCGAUUGGUAAAGUUAAUUCUUGAACACUAUGCGAAUUAAUGNGUAUGAACUGAACGUAUACGAAUGCCAAAGCGUUGUUGCCAAAUAUUCGUAAAGUGAAUCAACCAAUGAAAUGUGUGCUUUAGUUAUUUCUUAUCGGUCUCGCGCGCGCGGUUCUGGUGAUGUUAUGGAAAUCUGUCAAGCGUUAUAACCUAUAAGACGUAAAAAGAUGGCAGAAAAUAAACGAGCAGGAAACAUUUCUAAUGGACAAAGAACAAUUCUUAUUGAAUUUCUGAAUAAACAUCCAGAAAUAGUGUCGGCAAAAUUUUCAGCAAAUUUUUCCUAUAAAGAUGCCCAAAUAUUAUGGUCUGAUGUAACUGAAAUAUUAAAUGCCCUUCCUGGAGCAAAAAAGACCUGGGAACAGUGGCGAAAGUCAAUAAUCUUCUGUGUAAUCUUAC
Molecule: long non-coding RNA, 441 nt
Organism: Vollenhovia emeryi
Lineage: Eukaryota; Metazoa; Arthropoda; Insecta; Hymenoptera; Formicidae
Exons: 3
Source: RefSeq, a predicted model, not a curated record